AACGUAGGACACAAGCGUUAUCCGGAGUUAUUGGGCGUAAAGGGCGUGUAGGCGGAUCGAUAAGUCUACUCUGAAAGCUCCUGGCUAAACUGGGAGAGGCGAGUGGAGACUGUCGGUCUAGAGUGAGGAAGAGGAAAGUGGAAUUCCGCGUGUAGUGGUGAAAUGCGUAGAGAUGCGGAGGAACACCAGUGGCGAAAGCGGCUUUCUGGUCCUUAACUGACGCUGAGGCGCGAAAGCAUGGGGAGCGAACGGG
This 253-nucleotide ribosomal RNA is filed under the name uncultured bacterium. RNAcentral describes it as "partial 16S ribosomal RNA". It matches the Rfam family "Bacterial small subunit ribosomal RNA", at positions 524 to 776 of the family's 1533-position model. The record is from RNAcentral.